AUUGAACGCUGGCGGCAUGCCUUACACAUGCAAGUCGAACGGCAGCACGGGUGCUUGCACCUGGUGGCGAGUGGCGAACGGGUGAGUAAUAUAUCGGAACGUACCUUAUUGUGGGGGAUAACGCAGCGAAAGCUGUGCUAAUACCGCAUAAUCCCUUAGGGGGAAAGCGGGGGACCGUAAGGCCUCGCGCAAUUAGAGCGGCCGAUACCUGAUUAGCUAGUUGGUGAGGUAAAGGCUCACCAAGGCGACGAUCAGUAGCUGGUCUGAGAGGACGAUCAGCCACACUGGGACUGAGACACGGCCCAGACUCCUACGGGAGGCAGCAGUGGGGAAUUAUGGACAAUGGGGGCAACCCUGAUCCAGCAAUGCCGCGUGAGUGAAGAAGGCCUUCGGGUUGUAAAGCUCUUUUGUCAGGGAAGAAACAGCAGCUCUAAUACAGUUUGCGAAUGACGGUACCUGAAGAAUAAGCACCGGCUAACUACGUGCCAGCAGCCGCCGUAA
This 501-nucleotide ribosomal RNA is filed under the name uncultured bacterium. Its description in RNAcentral is "partial 16S ribosomal RNA". It matches the Rfam family "Bacterial small subunit ribosomal RNA", at positions 30 to 523 of the family's 1533-position model. The record is from RNAcentral.